UACGUAGGUGGCAAGCGUUACUCGGAAUCACUAGGCGUAAAGCGCAGGUAGGCGGUUGGAUAAGUUUCUUGUGAAAGCUCCCGGCUUAACUGGGAGAGGACAAGGAAUACUAUCUGACUAGAGUGUGGUAGGGGUAACUGGAAUUCCCGGUGUAGCGGUGAAAUGCGUAGAUAUCGGGAGGAAUACCUAUGGCGAAGGCAGGUUACUGGGCCAUCACUGACGCUGAGCUGCGAAAGCUAGGGGAGCAAACAGG
RNAcentral lists this ribosomal RNA (253 nucleotides) under uncultured bacterium. Its description in RNAcentral is "partial 16S ribosomal RNA". It matches the Rfam family "Bacterial small subunit ribosomal RNA", at positions 524 to 776 of the family's 1533-position model. The record is from RNAcentral.